RNAcentral lists this ribosomal RNA (326 nucleotides) under uncultured bacterium. Its description in RNAcentral is "bacterial SSU rRNA". It matches the Rfam family "Bacterial small subunit ribosomal RNA", at positions 28 to 353 of the family's 1533-position model. The record is from RNAcentral.
GAUGAACGCUAGCGGCAGGCUUAACACAUGCAAGUCGAGGGGUAUUGGUUUUCGGACCAAGAGACCGGCGCACGGGUGCGUAACGCGUAUGCAAUCUACCUUUUGCAGAGGGAUAGCCCAGAGAAAUUUGGAUUAAUACCUCAUAGUAUAGUACUUUGGCAUCAAGGAACUAUUAAAGUCACAACGGCAAAAGAUGAGCAUGCGUCCCAUUAGCUAGUUGGUAAGGUAACGGCUUACCAAGGCUACGAUGGGGUAGGGGUUUCGUGAGAGGGAGACUCCCCCACACUGGUACUGAGACACGGACCAGACUCCUACGGGAGGCAGCA